Clostridiales bacterium PH28_bin88 is the source of this 139-nucleotide regulatory RNA element. It matches the Rfam family "Ribosomal protein L10 leader". From Rfam's summary of the family: This family is a putative r-protein leader autoregulatory structure found in B. subtilis and other low-GC Gram-positive bacteria. NCBI's taxonomy places the organism in Bacteria, Bacillati, Bacillota, Clostridia, Eubacteriales. The record is from Rfam.
CAGAUAACGUAAUUAUGACUGUAGACAGCAGGUGUGCUAGUGCACUUAAUGCCCGCGGGCGCCCGCCGAGGUCUGGCCGAAAUGCUCUGUAACGGAGAAGGCCCUCGUGUGUCUACACGGGGGCCUUUUUGCCGGCUGU